CAGUAGCCGCGGGAAUACGAAGGGGGCUAGCGUUGUUCGGAAUUACUGGGCGUAAAGCGUGCGUUGGCGGUGAGUUAAGUCUGCUGUGAAAUCCCCGGGCUCAACCUGGGAAUGGCAGUGGAUACUGGCUCGCUAGAGUGUGUCAGAGGAUGGUGGAAUUCCCGGUGUAGCGGUGAAAUGCGUAGAGAUCGGGAGGAACAUCAGUGGCGAAGGCGGCCAUCUGGGACAACACUGACGCUCAUGCACGAAAGCGUGGGGAGCAAACAGGAUUAGAUACCCCGGUAGUCCCUGUCUCUUAUAC
This 301-nucleotide ribosomal RNA is filed under the name uncultured bacterium. RNAcentral describes it as "partial 16S ribosomal RNA". It matches the Rfam family "Bacterial small subunit ribosomal RNA", at positions 509 to 807 of the family's 1533-position model. The record is from RNAcentral.